This 1026-nucleotide long non-coding RNA is filed under the name Coturnix japonica (Japanese quail). RNAcentral describes it as "lncRNA (ENSCJPG00005010956.1)". The record is from RNAcentral. Lineage: Eukaryota; Metazoa; Chordata; Aves; Galliformes; Phasianidae.
AUUCUGCUUGCUGGAGCUCCAGGCAGCAUUUAGAGUCACCUGUAUGUAGAUGCAUGACUUGACAUGGCACACGUCCUGAAUGCACAGCCAAAGUGGGGAUAUGCUGAAGAACUCUUAUGAAGCUGAGGAUUUCACUGUCGGAGAAGCAACCAGCUCCAGCUACUGUGAGUCUAAAAGAGAGAAAGAAAUCAUCCCUUCUUUUCCUUCAAGACCAGCUGUCCUGUUUUCAGGAGAUACUUGCCAGCAAAGCAAACCCAGUGCGCAGCUACCACUGAAGACUAAAAUCACUGUGAGCAGAGCAAAGCCUCCAGCAGAGAUGGUAGCAGAAGAACCAGCCUUCGGCAUUAUGAUCCUGGCAAAAACAAUUUCAAAAUACACUUUAUCUAGCGAGUGUGCCCGGGAGCUACACAGAGAAUUGCUUCAUGCAGCCUUUUUAUGGAGAGAGGAACUGAGUAGUCUCUGAAAUAACUCACGCAUCUUUUAACAGCCUCUAUUACUCACUAUUGGAUGGACAGCAAUGUUCAUUGUUUCACGCUGUCAGCCCAAUCCUUCUACUCUAAAUUAAAUCACUAAAAAGGAAGUUUCACAGCUUCAGAGCCCUGGUUUGCCCGUUCAGCCAAAUCCCUUCCGUCCUCCAUCAGAUUUGUCUCAUAGCAGCCCAGCAGCUACUGAAGUCGCUGACAUUUUCCCAUCAAAGAAUCAUACAUUUACAGCAUUGUUAAAGGUGGAAAAGACCUCUAUGAUCACACAGUCCAACCCCAACCCACCUCACCAUGCCCACAUUGCUCAGUGUCACAUCUCCAUGGUUCUUUAGCACCUCCAUGGACAGUGACUCCACCACCUCCCUGGGCAGCCAGUGCUACUACAUCACUACUCUUUCUGAGAGGAUUUAUUUACCUCUAAUAUUCAACCUGAAAUGGUGCAAGGCAUCCUGCACAGUGCUCCAAGAACCAAAUCUCACCCAGUGGGAAAUAACCAGCAGGUCAGGGAGACCCUGGGGGCACAGAGUGAAGGGUUCAAGCCUUG